This 433-nucleotide ribosomal RNA is filed under the name uncultured bacterium. RNAcentral describes it as "partial 16S ribosomal RNA". It matches the Rfam family "Bacterial small subunit ribosomal RNA", at positions 29 to 507 of the family's 1533-position model. The record is from RNAcentral.
AACGAACGCUGGCGGCAUGCCUAACACAUGCAAGUCGAACGAGACCUUCGGGUCUAGUGGCGCACGGGUGCGUAACGCGUGGGAACCUGCCCUUAGGUUCGGAAUAACUCCCCGAAAGGGGUGCUAAUACCGGAUAAUGUCUUCGGACCAAAGAUUUAUCGCCUUUGGAUGGGCCCGCGUUGGAUUAGCUAGUUGGUAGGGUAAAAGCCUACCAAGGCGACGAUCCAUAGCUGGUCUGAGAGGCUGAUCAACCACACUGGGACUGAGACACGGCCCAGACUCCUACGGGAGGCAGCAGUGGGGAAUAUUGGACAAUGGGCGAAAGCCUGAUCCAGCAAUGCCGCGUGAGUGAUGAAGGCCUUAGGGUUGUAAAGCUCUUUUACCCGGGAUGAUAAUGACAGUACCGGGAGAAUAAGCACCGGCUAACUCCGUG